RNAcentral lists this ribosomal RNA (449 nucleotides) under uncultured bacterium. Its description in RNAcentral is "bacterial SSU rRNA". It matches the Rfam family "Bacterial small subunit ribosomal RNA", at positions 329 to 793 of the family's 1533-position model. The record is from RNAcentral.
CACCAGACUCCUACGGGAGGCAGCAGUGGGGAAUAUUGCACAAUGGGGGAAACCCUGAUGCAGCGACGCCGCGUGAGUGAAGAAGUAUUUCGGUAUGUAAAGCUCUAUCAGCAGGAACGAGACAAGACGGUACCUGACUAAGAAGCCCCGGCUAACUCCGUGCCAGCAGCCGCGGUAAUACGGAGGAUGCGAGCGUUAUCCGGAUUUAUUGGGUUUAAAGGGUGCGCAGGCGGAUUUUUAAGUCAGCGGUCAAAUCGUGGGGCUCAACCCCUUCCAGCCGUUGAAACUGGGGAUCUAGAGUGUGCGAGUGGUAUGCGGCAUGCGUGGUGUAGCGGUGAAGUGCAUAGAUAUCACGCAGAACCCCGAUUGCGAAGGCAGCCUGCCGCAGCGUUACUGACGCUGAAGCUCGAAAGCGCGGGUAUCGAACAGGAUUAGAUACCCCAGUACAG